CUACUAGUCUACUAAUACAUCAACAUUAUUCAUAGAAAAUUCGUUAAGGUUAUCGGUUGACAAUAUCUCUAGUAUGAGAUUAGUGUUUAAGAUAUUGACGACUACUAAUCACCUUCUCCACCCGGUGAAAGCGCUGCUUGGCGCUCCCGGGUCAAAUCUUUAACAGUUACCGCCUUUUUCUUUUGUUGAGUGGGUGUGUUCCUGAAUCCCCGGACGCCAGCGUUCCGAAAUUGGCUAGUCGUUGUUUAGCUAUUAGCCUCUUUAGCAAACCAGCCCGAAAACAAACAACACAACUUUACAUUGUAUUGCACGCACAGCAAGACCAUGCAAUGUAUAAAUUGGUGACCGGAAUAAAGUAGCAAUGUUAUCAAGUGUGAAACUAUUUAUCUGCUAAUCAACACUACGAAUGGUAACAAAUAAAUUAUAAAAAGACA
Molecule: long non-coding RNA, 434 nt
Organism: Gadus macrocephalus (Pacific cod)
Lineage: Eukaryota; Metazoa; Chordata; Actinopteri; Gadiformes; Gadidae
Exons: 2
Source: RefSeq, a predicted model, not a curated record